RNAcentral lists this ribosomal RNA (425 nucleotides) under uncultured bacterium. RNAcentral's name for it is "partial 16S ribosomal RNA". It matches the Rfam family "Bacterial small subunit ribosomal RNA", at positions 354 to 796 of the family's 1533-position model. The record is from RNAcentral.
GUGGGGAAUCUUGCGCAAUGGGCGAAAGCCUGACGCAGCCAUGCCGCGUGAAUGAUGAAGGUCUUAGGAUUGUAAAAUUCUUUCACCGGGGACGAUAAUGACGGUACCCGGAGAAGAAGCCCCGGCUAACUUCGUGCCAGCAGCCGCGGUAAUACGAAGGGGGCUAGCGUUGCUCGGAAUUACUGGGCGUAAAGGGCGCGUAGGCGGACAGUUUAGUCAGAGGUGAAAGCCCAGGGCUCAACCUUGGAAUUGCCUUUGAUACUGGCUGUCUUGAGUACGGGAGAGGUGAGUGGAACUCCGAGUGUAGAGGUGAAAUUCGUAGAUAUUCGGAAGAACACCAGUGGCGAAGGCGACUCACUGGCCCAAUACUGACGCUGAGGCGCGAAAGCGUGGGGAGCAAACAGGAUUAGAUACCCCGGUAGUCC